This is a long non-coding RNA of Hemibagrus wyckioides, 3519 nucleotides long. RefSeq lists it as uncharacterized. The record is from RefSeq and is a predicted model, not a curated record. The transcript has 3 exons. NCBI's taxonomy places the organism in Eukaryota, Metazoa, Chordata, Actinopteri, Siluriformes, Bagridae.
CACUGAAUCAACAGACAGUGGAUGUGACUGGAAACGUGGGACAGUCUGUCCUUCUGCCCUGCUCCUGCUCUGAACUACAAGCCAAACCACACACUUUCACGUGGAGCUUUUAUGAUGAAUCUGAUGAUAUGAAAAUCAUCUCAGCAGACCAGACAAAUCGCUACACAGGCAGAGUUCAGCUCUUUAAUGAUCAUCCUCCAGGAAAUCUCUCUCUACUCAUAUCACACCUGACUGUAGAGGAUGGAGGAUGGUACAGGUGUGAGAUCAGUGAAAUGAAAACGUACAUCUACCUCACAGUGAAAGAACCCCUUCUCUACAUCCCUGUUGCCAUGGUGACUGUGAUCUUUCUGCACAUUAUCGUGGCUUUGAUUUAUUGCACCACCAUAAAGAAAGGUCCUGGUACAGUUCAUUACAGCAGAGGUGAUGGAGAUGGAACAGUGAGUCUGCAGUAGAGAAUAUCUCAGUUCGCUGAUCUAUCAAAAAAUGAAUCAAUAGAUUUCUUCAGAAAUAGUCUAUGGCGUCAAAUUAGUGGCAUAAGUAUCAUAUUCAUAACAAAUUAUAUAUAUUAUACACAUAAAAAAAAUAAAACACGUGAAUCACAGAAAUAACAUGCGUGACACUGCAGGUUAGUGUUUGAACCUGUCUUGAGCAAGUGAGAAGUUUAAUUAAUACGCUUAAAGCUUCUUAUAUGUGUGUCUAUUGUAGUAUCAUGUCAACCCUCCUGUUAUUAUGCUAAAGAGUAUUUUAAUGAACUGAACAAGUGUAUCACUGUACAAUCAUUAGCAUCAUAGCAUAGCGUUAUUGCUGCUCAAACAGUAGAGUAGUGCGGUAUGUGUUCAGUAUUGUGAUGAAAUGUAUACCAAAGUAAUGUGUUUAGUCUUAUCUCUGUAUUAACCCAGACUCUUAAUCAGAGUCCUGUAUCACCACAUCCCCAGUCUCAGGUCAGUUCUUUCUUUUUUUUGAAAAAAAAGAAAGAAAGAAAAUAAAGUUUUAUUAAAGCAUUGAUUGUUACUGUUUUAUAUUAAGGCCAGAGAGAGAGAGAGAGAGAGAGAGAGAGAGCUCUUUAUUCAUAUGAUAACAAUGGCUUCUUGUCAGAGUCAAAAAACUGUCAACAUAAAAUAACUCUUUAAAUUAGAAUUUAUUUCCAGACUCUUUAUUUCUGUCUGUAUGCUAGAUAUAGAUCAACAUCAUUCUGGAGUUGCAUGCCACCAUAAAAGCUGCAGAAGGAUUUAGGAUUAUUAGAUGUAAGCAUUGUAGAAAGAUGCUAUAAAUGUAAUGAAAACACAUUUAUUCCACAAUUUGCUGCACAUAGUUUAAAACUAAUAAAUACAGAUCUCGUCCAAAGUCUCGGGACGGGGAGUUUGGUUCAAUGGCUGUCCUAAACUGUGCCUGUGGCCACAGCAUCCAAUCAGUGUCUGUAAGCACAACCCCAACACUCAACAAUUGAGAACCAUUUUAGACAGAUUACAACUGGUUCCUUGGACAAUUAAGGCAUCUAACUAACGUGUACAUUGAUAUCGAUUACAUGUAGUAGUGCAUAAUCGCCCAUCUUCUCACUUGCUCAAGACAGGUUCAAACACUAACCGGCAGAUCAGUGAUGUCACUUUACUGAUUGGCUAGAGAAGGGCAGUAGGUUGAGAAGCAGUGGACCAAUGGAGACUUUCAUCCUGCCCCCUAAUCUGCAUAAAACUCUACUUGUGAUUUUUGGAAUAACAAACUAGCAUCCUUGUGAUUUGCGUGUUUUAUUAAUUUAGUUUUUUUUUAUGUGUAUUAUUUCUGUGAUGCAUGUAUUUUUUUUUAACGAGUACAAUACUUUUGGCACUAAUUUGAUGCCAUAAUAGUCUUGAAUAAAUAGUUCUGUAAAUAUUGUAGCUUCAUUUCAUAUUCAUGGUUUGUUCUCUCCAAACCUUUGAUGCUUAACAGUAUUUCAGCUAAAUCACAGAAUGUGUGUGGUUAGAUUUUAACGUUGCUACGCCACUAUAUUAGAUAAAUAUGUGAUACUUUAUUUUACAAAUGGGAAAGAAGGUAAAAUAUUGUGUUUAUAAUUCAAUAGAUUUCAAUUGAUUUUCUCUCUUUUGUUUUCUUGUAAAUUUGGUUUUUCAUUUGGAAUACUUUUCAAUUAUUCCUUCAUUUAUUUUCUUGUGAUUUGUGGUUUAAUUUGAAGUGAUGCAUCACACUUAUGUUUGGGGCAGAAACUUCCUACACUGAUGAAAGGGUACUUUCAUUUUGAACUUAAGUCACCCUGAAACAGGAAGGCCUACUGAAAUAAAAAGGUGGAGCCAACAGGAAGACAUGUAAGGAAUUAUUUGUGUUUGGAGGAUGAUUGGUUCUAAACUUUCCUUUUGGAGUUGCUUUUGAAUUAAUUGCCCAUCCAGUUCCAGGAGACAAUUAUGGAUCUGUGUUUAAGGUUAGACUUUCAUAAUGUUUGGUGGUGGGUAAUUUUUAAUCUUCUUGUUUAAUGGACUGUUUUUCAUUUUUGGGUUUUUCAUUUUUUUUUUCAAAUAUUUUGUAUUCUAUAUGCUCAUAUUUGCCUUUGUGUUUGUCAAGCCUUCAAGCAGUUUCUGUUGUACUCAGUCAUGCAUUGUGAGUUUACUGAACUUUAAAAUAGCUAAGUAUCUGCUGGUGUACUGAAGCUGUUUACCAGGUUUUGUUACAAAGUGCUUCAUUUAUAAGUUUGUAUCUGAUGCCCACCUGCUUUUGAUGCCUGCUUCACUUUCACAAUAUUUACAUCAUUAAAAACUAGACAUAUUGUAUCAUUUCUUCACAAAAUAUUGUAGUGCUUUAGUAGGCAAAUUUUCUACCAUUGAUCAGAUUGAUCAGUGGCGUCCAUCUACUUCUGCACAGCUGGAUGCCUGGUCCAUCUCCCAAAACCUUCCUCCACCUCCCUCAGCCACGGAGCUGCUCUUAUAUCACCUGUUACCUGAAAGAACUGAAUGAAGAAUUCAACAUCUUUCUUUUGCUGUCUUUCAGCACUUCUAGAUUCUUUUUGCUCAGCAUAUUUUCCUCUAGCAUUCUCAAUUAAAACUUUUCGACUAUUAAAUGUUCAGUAUUACAGAUCAGUAUUCCAGACCCACACAGCUUCAGGCUCUAUGGAUUGAUCUUGAGCUCAUAUUACUAUCUUUAUGAAGUUUCCCAUGAUCUUUUGUCUCGGUGUGGGUUUCUACUUCUCACUGUCAAAAAACAUGCUGCUAGAUGGAUUGGUGACUCUAAAUCAAGUAGCAACCUGUGAUGGAGCGGCCUCUCAUUCAGAGUGUAUUCCCACUGUAUUCCCUGUGUUCUUGCAUAAAACUUCAUUUCCACCACAAUCUAGACCAGGAUAAAGGUGAAUAGUAAGCAAAGGGCUGAGGUUACACUAGCACUCUGGUGUGUGUGACUUCUGGUAGGAAGGAGAAAUGUCCAGAGUCAUCACUACAUGAGUUUAACUUCUGUCCUAGUUCUGUGCUGGUGUUUUUUGUUUCUAAACUUUUGUUGUAUGUUUAUGUAGCACCAGGGUUCUGGAGAAACAUUGUUUCAUUUCAG